RNAcentral lists this ribosomal RNA (396 nucleotides) under uncultured bacterium. Its description in RNAcentral is "partial 16S ribosomal RNA". It matches the Rfam family "Bacterial small subunit ribosomal RNA", at positions 523 to 918 of the family's 1533-position model. The record is from RNAcentral.
AUACGAAGGGUGCAAGCGUUAAUCGGAAUUACUGGGCGUAAAGCGCGCGUAGGUGGUUUUGUAAGUUGGAGGUGAAAGCCCCGGGCUCAACCUGGGAAUUGCCUCCAAAACUGCAUGACUAGAGUACGGUAGAGGGUAGUGGAAUUUCCUGUGUAGCGGUGAAAUGCGUAGAAAUAGGAAGGAACACCAGUGGCGAAGGCGCCUACCUGGACUGAUACGGCCACUGAGGUGCGAAAGCGUGGGGGCCAAACAGGAUAAAAUCCCCGGGGUGUCCACGCCGUAAACGAUGUCAACUAGCCGUUGGGAUCCUUGAGAUCUUAGUGGCGCAGCUAACGCAUUAAGUUGACCGCCUGGGGAGUACGGCCGCAAGGUUAAAACUCAAAUGAAUUGACGGGG